AGUUAAGCUACAAAGGGCAUACGGUGGAUGCCUAGGCAUUGAGAGUCGAUGAAGGACGCGGUAAGCUGCGAAAAGGUUUGGGGAGCUGCAAGCAAGCAUUGAUCCAGACAUCUCCGAAUGGGGCAACCCGUCAGACGUAACUGUCUGUCAUCCUUAGGGAGGAUAACCCGGUGAACUGAAACAUCUAAGUAGCCGGAGGAAGAGUAAUCAAACGAGAUUCCCGUAGUAGCGGCGAGCGAAGAGGGAAGAGCCCAAACCGGAAGUCUUCGGACAUCCGGGGUUGAGGACCUGCAUAA
RNAcentral lists this non-coding RNA (296 nucleotides) under Anaerovibrio lipolyticus. RNAcentral describes it as "Bacterial large subunit ribosomal RNA". It matches the Rfam family "Bacterial large subunit ribosomal RNA", at positions 1 to 313 of the family's 2925-position model. Lineage: Bacteria; Bacillati; Bacillota; Negativicutes; Selenomonadales; Selenomonadaceae. The record is from Rfam by way of RNAcentral.